Non-coding RNA from Arachis ipaensis, 399 nucleotides. Lineage: Eukaryota; Viridiplantae; Streptophyta; Magnoliopsida; Fabales; Fabaceae. The record is from RefSeq and is a predicted model, not a curated record.
UUCUACCCUAAUCGUCUUCUCCGUGUCCUAAUCGCUGAUGACGGUCGCUGUUCUGAUCAUUGCUGUUGCUGCGCCACCGUCACCAUCAUCAUCUCCGUGCUUCUCAUCAUCGUCUUCACUGUGCUCACAUCGUUGAAUAUAUUGAAGCAGCAAUAACCAAGGAUGAGCUUCAGCACCUCGCUUUGCUGUUCAAAUCUGAAUUUGAUUCAAUUGGUCAAAUCACUGCUGGAGUUUUGCGGCUGCUUAAGCUGGAAGGUUCUGUUGGUCAGGCUGUAAUAGAUCAACUUGGUAACCUAGGUAAUGGAUAGUGAUUUGAAGCAAGGUUUCAUGAAUCCAAGGGAUUGGUUCAUUGAUGACAACUAGUGAUCAUGUCAUGUAUGAUACUUAGAAUUUUACAGA